GGGGCCUGGCGGUGGGCGG
RNAcentral lists this microRNA (19 nucleotides) under Homo sapiens (human). RNAcentral describes it as "hsa-miR-2861". The record is from miRBase by way of RNAcentral. Lineage: Eukaryota; Metazoa; Chordata; Mammalia; Primates; Hominidae.